CGGCCGCGGGGUGGCGCUGCAGGUGGUGCGGGAAGCCAGCCAGGAGAGCAAGCUGCUGUGGGUCAUCCGCGAGGACCAGGGCGGCGAGUGGAAGCACGGGCGGAUCAUCCUGCCCAGCUACGACAUGGAGUACCAGAUUGUGUUCGAGGGAGUGAUAGGGAAAGGACGUUCCGGAGAGAUUGCCAUUGACGACAUUCGGAUAAGCACUGAUGUCCCACUGGAGAACUGCAUGGAACCCAUCUCAGCUUUUGCAGGUGAGAAUUUUAAAGGUAAAAAAAAAUUUUUUUUUUGCAUGCUUUUUCCUUCCCCCAUGUGAUGUGAAUUUGGUGGGGGGAAUCAACCUCCAAAUUUGUCAAAUCUCGCAAGAGAAAAGAGACGCCACACCUUCCUGCCACUAGAUGGCACUAGCAACACCUGUAGAUGCGGGAAGGGGAUUGAGAGCCUCACUGUCUCUUGUUUAAUUAAAGUUUAGAAACCUAUUAAUAGAGACAAAUAGGUUACAGAUAAACCUUUCA
Molecule: small RNA, 515 nt
Filed under: Pan troglodytes (chimpanzee)
Lineage: Eukaryota; Metazoa; Chordata; Mammalia; Primates; Hominidae
Description: retained intron
Source: RNAcentral